This 27-nucleotide transfer RNA is filed under the name Moraea elegans. Its description in RNAcentral is "partial tRNA-Phe". Lineage: Eukaryota; Viridiplantae; Streptophyta; Magnoliopsida; Asparagales; Iridaceae. The record is from RNAcentral.
UAAAAGGUCGGGAUAGCUCAGUUGGAG